GUCCACGCCCUAAACGAUGUCAACUGGUUGUCGGGGAAGCAAUUCCUUGGUAACGAAGCUAACGCGUGAAGUUGACCGCCUGGGGAGUACGGCCGCAAGGUUAAAACUCAAAGGAAUUGACGGGGACCCGCACAAGCGGUGGAUUAUGUGGAUUAAUUCGAUGCAACGCGAAAAACCUUACCUACCCUUGACAUGUACGGAAGCCUGCAGAAAUGCGGGUGUGCCCGAAAGGGAGCCGUAACACAGGUGCUGCAUGGCUGUCGU
RNAcentral lists this ribosomal RNA (264 nucleotides) under uncultured bacterium. RNAcentral describes it as "partial 16S ribosomal RNA". It matches the Rfam family "Bacterial small subunit ribosomal RNA", at positions 793 to 1055 of the family's 1533-position model. The record is from RNAcentral.